This is a non-coding RNA of Caenorhabditis elegans, 21 nucleotides long. The record is from Ensembl. Lineage: Eukaryota; Metazoa; Nematoda; Chromadorea; Rhabditida; Rhabditidae.
CGGGUUAUUGAUUUACCACUA